Molecule: long non-coding RNA, 927 nt
Filed under: Vitis vinifera (wine grape)
Lineage: Eukaryota; Viridiplantae; Streptophyta; Magnoliopsida; Vitales; Vitaceae
Description: long non-coding RNA (VVIN_LNC003946)
Source: RNAcentral
GUCUACGCUCUGCCAGCGUCGUUUGCUCUUCCUUGGAUAGGAGAAGCUGAAACGUCGUUUGCCUUUCCUUGAGGGGUUCCGGAUAGGAUAGCCGCACCAUGCAUAUCUUUAGGAGAAUCCGGAUGAUGAUGGUCCGGAUAAUGAUGGUCCGGCUGAUAGCACGUGCCACGCGUCACCAUGAGCUGCGUGCCACGUGUUUCCCAAGGGGAGGGGUCCCUACAUUGCCCCCCUUUUUAACUUGCCCAUUUUGCCAAAAAAUGGGCGGGUUAAAAAUAACUGGGUUUUUGAAAAUUGAAAAAGUCCAUUCGUCUAACUUGGCCACGUGGCGAGUGGGGGUGCGGAAGCCAAAAAAGGCAUUUAUGGCGAGCCGCCGACCCUGUGUAUCCCCAGGCAAUAUGUCGUUUCAAUGAUAACACGGCUGUUGGUUUGGCUUUCCGAGGGGCUGUCCUGCUAUAAAUAGGGCACUGUACCUUUUUUGUAUUUUUUCUACUGCAUUCUCUUGAGAGCCUUCCUUCUUCUUACUUUUUCUCCGUCCUUUGCUUUUCUGAGAAAAACUUCGAACGACCUCGUUUGUUUGUUGCCGGUGAUUUUAUACCGAGAGAGUAACCGUUCUUCUUCUCCAGAGCUCUAUUUGGUACGUACCUCUUUGCUAUUAUCAUUCCUUUGGUUGCGUUUGCCGGUUCUUUAAACUUGGUUCCUGGCUUUGUUUUGAACAAGUCGCUUGCAAUUGUUUGUUUAAUGUUGGUACUUUGUUGUUUGUUUGGAGGGGUUUUUGAGGGGUUUUUCUGACUGCUUUGAGUUUGUGUAUUUUCUGAUUGCUUGGUCUGAACCGUUUGCAUUGUUUUUGCGUGUAGAUUUUGCUUUGGCUUUGUGGUAAGAAAUGGCUCCAAAAAAAACUGUUUCGUCUGUCCGGGUCAGCGAGGCUGG